This 824-nucleotide long non-coding RNA is filed under the name Homo sapiens (human). RNAcentral's name for it is "HSALNT0051518". The record is from RNAcentral. Lineage: Eukaryota; Metazoa; Chordata; Mammalia; Primates; Hominidae.
AAUGCUGUGAUGUUGCUUAUCCUUCUGAGUUUUUAUAGAUAACACAUUGGGACUAAGAAAGAGGGAGGAAGUAAUAUGGUCAAAGCCGCUCCUUAGAAAGAUUUCUCUGGCAGCUGUGGGGACAGAGUAGAGGGAAGACAGAAUGAUGGUGAGGAGACCUGUCAAUGGCAACGGUUCAGACAAGUUGUGGGGAGGGCUCGAACAAGGGCAGAAGCCAGGCUGCAGGUGGCAUGAGGCAGUGUCACAUCAGUCUCACUCACUACUGUGGCCAAGUCUCCUUAAAUGUUUGCUGAGUGAAUGGAUGACUGAAUGGUGUCUCUGACAGAGACAUAUGGAUGAAGGAGAUAGAGGUAAAGUGCAGGGAGGACCCAUUGAUGACAAAGGGGUUUCCAGAUCAGUCUGUCACGGGGAGCAAUUCAAGAGAAGAGGUGGGGCCGGGCAUGGUGGCUCAUGCCUGUAAUUUCAGCACUUUGGGAGGCUGAGGUGGGCGGAUCACCUGAGGUUGGGAGUUCAAGACCAGCCUGACCAACAUGGAGAAACCCCAUCUCUACUAAAAAAUACAAAAAAUUAGCCAGGCGUAAUCCCAGCUACUCCAGAGGCUGGGGCAGGAGAAUUGCUUGAACCCGGGAGACAGAGGUUGUGGUGAGCCGAGAUGGUGCCGUUGCACUCCAGCCUGGACAACAAGAGCGAAACUCUGUCUCAACUUGAGUUGUAGAGCCUGGACUAGAGCCAGCCUCAUGUUCCCUUUACCACUUGCCCUUGGAGGGAGAGAUGCACAGGUUAAGAGCAUCUUAUUCCGUCUUUUCUUUCUUUUCUGGGCCAGC